UCUAUACAUCUGCUCCAGAAACUGGGAAACCAUUGGGCUAUCACAUCCCAGAAGGUGGCCCUCGAUAUUCUUGGGGGUUCCAUUCUGCCCUACAACUGCAGAUAAUGAAACCACGGAAAACGGGUUUGAAAGCAGCUAUUGAGAAGACAGGCUCAGACCAAGGGAGGCAGCAAACAAUUGUUUUCUUUCCUAAAGAAGCAAGCAAGCAAGCAAGCAAAACAAACAAACAAGAAAACAAGGAGGAAAGGACAAGGGCCAGCGAGACCCUAACUGACUGACGAACUGGGCCAAUUUGAGGUGAUGAGAACUGUCUUGAAAACUCAAAAUUAACAAAUCGCCAGGACCAGAUGGCAUCCACCCAAGAGUUCUGAAGGAACUAAAAUGUGAAAUUGCUGAUCUACUAGCAUAAAUAUGUAACGUCUCUACAAUCAGGCUUUAUACCAGAGGACUGGAAAGGAGCUAAUGUAACUCCAAUAUUCAAAAAGGGAUUCAGGGGGGAUCUGGGAAACUACAGGCCAGUUAGCUUAAUUUCUGUGCUGAGUAAAUGGAUGGAAAGCCUACUUAAGGACAACAUUGUUAAACAUACAGAAGAACAGGCCUUGCAGAAGGAGAACCAGCAUGGCUUCUGCAGCGGCAAGUCUUACCUCACUAAGCUUUUGGAGUUCUUUGAGAGUGUCAACAGGCGUGUCGAUAAAAGUGGUCCAGUUGACAUGGACUUCCAAAAGGCUUUUGUACAAAGUUCCCCACCAAAAGCUCUUGAGUAAACGUAACAGUCAUGGGAUAGGGGGACAGGUUCCAUUGUCAAUUUGGUAAUUGGCUUAAGGACAGGAAACAACGGGUAGGAAUAAAUGGACAGUUCUCUACAUGGAGUGAAGUAAGAUGUGGGGUCCCCCAGGGCUCUGUACUGGGACCAGUGCUCUUUAACUUGUUCAUAAAUGAUCUAGAAGUUGGGGUAAUCAGCAAAGUGGCCAAAUUUGCAGAAGGCACUAAAUUAUUGAGCGUAGUGAAUUCCAAAACAGAUUGUGGGGAGUUCCAAAACGAUCUCUCCAAACUGGGGGAGUGGGCAACAAAAUGGCAAAUGCGGUUCAAUGUAAGCAAGUGUAAUGUAAUGCAUAUUGGGACAAAAACCCCAACUACACAUAUACACUGAUGGGGUCUGAGCUGUAACUGAGCUGUCACCCCAAGGAGAGAGAUCUUGGGGUUGUGGUACACAGCUUGUUGAAAGUUGUGACUCAGUGCAGCUGUGAAAAGCUAAAUUCCAUGCUAGGGAUCAUUAGGAAGGGGACUGAAAAUAAAUAUAUUAAUAUUAUAAUUCCCUUAUUCAAAACUAUGGUGCAGCCAUAUUUGGAGUACUGUGUAAUGUUCUGGUCACCGUAUCUUAAGGAGGACAUAGUAGAACUGAAAAAGGUGCAGAAGAGGGCAAACAAGAUGAUCAGGGGUCUGGAGCCCCUUCCUUAUGAGGCAAGGCUACAGCAUCUAGGACUUCUAAGUUUGGAAAAGAGGCAACUAUGGGGAGACAUGACAGAGGUGCAUAAAAUUAUGCAUGGAGUAGAGGGAGGGGACAGAUAAAUUUUUCUCCCUCUCUCAUAAUACUAGAACUGGGGUCAUCCCACUAAACUGAAGGGCAGGAAAUUUAGGACCAACAAAAUUGUCACACAACUAAUCUAUGGAAUUCUUUGCCAGGGGAUGUAAUGAUGGCCACUAACUUGGAUGGCAUUAAAAGGGACAAAUUCAUGGAGGAUAGGUCUAUCAAUGGCUACUAGUCUGGUGGUUAUGGGCCACCUCCAGCCUCAGAGCCAAGAUGCCUCUAAAUACCAGUUGCAGGGGAGCAGCAGCAAGAGAGGGCAUGCCCUCCUGCUGGUGGGCUUCUCAGAGGCAUCUGGUGGGCCUCUGUGUGAAACAGGAUGCUGAACGAGAUACGCCUUGGGCCUGAUCCAAUGGGGCUGUCCGUAUAUUCUUAUGAGAACUUGAGUCCAUGGGAACUGGGGGGUUAGGUUCCUAGAGCUUAAAAAGGGGCUUUAAAAGUGGGGAGGAGGCAGAAAUAAUAAUAAGAGAAAUAAAGUAGUGUACAAUGCUCUCCAAGUCUCCAGCUGUCCAGCAAUGUCCAAAAAUGUCCAGUUGUCCUAUCUCACAAACUUCCAAUUCCUCAGAAUAUCCAUGAAAAAUAAUAGUGGGGGAAAAGCCUUUUUGAAGAAAGAGCCACAAAAUGGCUCCCUGGUGCAAAAUGGUGGCCGGAAAUUUAUUUAUUUAUUUAUUGUUAAAUUUAUAUACCGCCUUUCAUUAACAUAAUCACAAGGCGGUUAACAUAGAAAAAGUUGAACCCUGUAUAAUGAGGUUGGGUCUAUAUAGCCUGACCAUGGAUAUGUGAAAUCACGGGUGCCGGGACAGUGGAUAACGAGGGCCAUCUGUAUAAUAUAUAAUUAUAUCUCAAAAGAAACUGAAGAAGCAGAAAUUAAAAUAUAAUUAAUGACCAUAUACGGUACAUUUGAAUCAUAGUAAAUUUGAAUCUGAGAAAGAUCUGCUUUUCUUGGGCAUUAUGUUGUUUUGGAAUUAUUUAUCUGAUUAUUUAGUUUUUAAAAUCUUUUUAGAACAAUAACAGAUAAAACAUGAUGAUUAAUGCAGAAUUUCUGCUAAAAAUACAAAAUGAAUUACUUAAACAUGCCCCCAAGCAUAUCCUGGUGUAAAAAGUAGUGCAUUCAGCUAAUUUAAGUGGCAGGAUUGUUCAUGCAAAAUGUGGUAUCUGUAGGUAAUUGGGAAGUAUGAUAUUAAUAAUUUACUAAAAAACCCUGCCAAAAUAAUUAUUUAAAGUUUCACCAAGCAUAUUCUGUAAAACAUAGUAUAUUUAGCUAAUUUUAGUAGCAGGAUUGUGUAUGUGAAAUUUUGUAUCUUAUCAGGAAGUAUGACUUUAUUUCGCAAAAACAAACCAAUGCUUCAAAAUAUAUAAUAGCUUAUUUGGGCCUA
Molecule: long non-coding RNA, 2961 nt
Organism: Hemicordylus capensis (graceful crag lizard)
Lineage: Eukaryota; Metazoa; Chordata; Lepidosauria; Squamata; Cordylidae
Exons: 3
Source: RefSeq, a predicted model, not a curated record